UAAAUUGUUCAUUAAUUGUGAACUAGAAUGAAGGAAAAAAUGGUUUAAUUCUGUCUUAAUGUUUAUAUAUUGAAAUUGAAUUCUUUGUAAAAAUGCAAAAAUUUAUUUUAGGGACAAGAAGACCCUAUAAAGCUUAUUUGAUAUUAUUAGUAUCUAUCUAAUAAAUAUCAAUUUGAUUGGGGCAAUUAUUUAUAUAUAUUAAAUAUAAAUUAAAUUUAGUUACUUAUUUAUUAUCAGAAUGAUCCAUCAUUGAUGAAAAAUGAUUAAGUUACUUUAGGGAUAACAGGAUAAUUUUUAUUAGAAAGUUCUUAUUAGUAAUAAAGUUUAUUACCUCGAUGUUGAAUUAAUUUAAUUAAAUGGUGAAGUAACUUUUUGAGUUUGACUGUUCGUCAAUUAAAUAAUUACAUGAUCUGAGUUC
Molecule: ribosomal RNA, 418 nt
Filed under: Aoraki denticulata
Lineage: Eukaryota; Metazoa; Arthropoda; Arachnida; Opiliones; Pettalidae
Description: partial 16S ribosomal RNA
Rfam family: Bacterial large subunit ribosomal RNA (bases 279-418)
Source: RNAcentral